UGGGAAGUAAAAAAUCGUAACAAGGUUUCCGUAGGUGAACCUGCGGAAGGAUCAUUACCGAGUGUAGGGUUCCUAGCGAGCCCAACCUCCCACCCGUGUUUACUGUACCUUAGUUGCUUCGGCGGGCCCGCCAUUCAUGGCCGCCGGGGGCUCUCAGCCCCGGGCCCGCGCCCGCCGGAGACACCACGAACUCUGUCUGAUCUAGUGAAGUCUGAGUUGAUUGUAUCGCAAUCAGUUAAACCGUGAAUCAUCGAGUCUUUGAACGCACAUUGCGCCCCCUGGUAUUCCGGGGGGCAUGCCUGUCCGAGCGUCAUUGCUGCCCAUCAAGCACGGCUUGUGUGUUGGGUCGUCGUCCCCUCUCCGGGGGGGACGGGCCCCAAAGGCAGCGGCGGCACCGCGUCCGAUCCUCGAGCGUAUGGGGCUUUGUCACCCGCUGUGUAGGCCCGGCGCGGCGCUUGCCGAACGCAAAUCAAUCUUUUCCUGUGACCUCGAUCACCAAGCCCACAAUUCCCC
This 513-nucleotide ribosomal RNA is filed under the name Aspergillus flavus. Its description in RNAcentral is "eukaryotic LSU rRNA". The stretch from base 1 to 57 matches the Rfam family "Eukaryotic small subunit ribosomal RNA", at positions 1776 to 1831 of the family's 1831-position model. The record is from RNAcentral. Lineage: Eukaryota; Fungi; Ascomycota; Eurotiomycetes; Eurotiales; Aspergillaceae.